Molecule: long non-coding RNA, 487 nt
Filed under: Sinocyclocheilus anshuiensis
Lineage: Eukaryota; Metazoa; Chordata; Actinopteri; Cypriniformes; Cyprinidae
Description: lncRNA (ENSSANG00000005221.1)
Source: RNAcentral
GUACCAUGAUGUCCUCGGCUGUGGUUUUGAAUCUUCUGCUUCUGGUGUCCAUUGCUUCUGCAGGACACCAUUAUGGAGGCUCAGUGACCUUCAGCCCUAAAGGAACCAAUGCAGAUGGGAGCAUGAGGGUUGAGUUUCGACUCAAGCGAACCUAUGACUGGUGUGAUUAUAGUUGGUGGUACUGCUCCUCUGGAGAUUGUGGCUAUGAAUCCAGCAGUCACCAUGGUCAAAUCGAUAGCAGCUCUAACGGCAGAAGUGCUUACUACAACAACUGGUGCCAAGCGGAAACUGUUGUCACAAGAAACAUCCAUGGAAACACACCCUUUGACCUGCAGGACUCCUCAUGCUGCUGGGUGCCCACAGUCAACAACGUUGUUUGGUGGUUCCUCCAGGCACACGUAGAUCUAGGCAUAAGAGCUGAUACCAAUCAACCCAACCGAUCACCUGUCACCACUACUUUACAACUUCUACGGUAACUCUUACUUUA